RNAcentral lists this ribosomal RNA (253 nucleotides) under uncultured bacterium. RNAcentral describes it as "partial 16S ribosomal RNA". It matches the Rfam family "Bacterial small subunit ribosomal RNA", at positions 524 to 776 of the family's 1533-position model. The record is from RNAcentral.
UACGGAGGGUGCGAGCGUUGUCCGGAAUUACUGGGCGUAAAGAGCUCGCAGGUGGUUUGUCGCGUUGUUCGUGAAAACUCACAACUCAAUUGUGGGCGUGCGGGCGAUACGGGCAGACUGGAGUACUGCAGGGGAGACUGGAAUUCCUGGUGUAGCGGUGAAAUGCGCAGAUAUCAGGAGGAACACCGGUGGCGAAGGCGGGUCUCUGGGCCGAUCCUGACGCUGAGGAGCGAAAGCGUGGGGAGCGAACAGG